UCCUCGUCACGCGGGAAGCUCCCCGCGGCCGCACGUGCAGUGGAGCCGAAGCUCCGCCCCCCCGCCCCCUGCCCCUGAGCCGCCGCCGGGCUGCCUCCUUGUCUGCCCGCCGAGAUGGCGCUCGACCCCGCAGAACAGCAUCUCAGACAUGUCGAAAAAGAUGUUUUGAUCCCUAAAAUAAUGAGAGAGAAGGCCAAAGAGAGAUGUUCUGAACAAGUUCAAGAUUUUACCAAAUGUUGCAAGGAUUCCGGAGUCCUCAUGGUAGUAAAAUGCCGGAAAGAAAAUUCUGCACUGAAAGAUUGUCUAACUGCUUACUAUACUGAUCCAGCCUUUUAUGAGGAGUGCAAAAUGGAAUACCUCAGAGAAAGGGAAGAAUUCAGAAAAACCGGAAUUCCUGCUAAGAAUAGGCUGCAGAAGCUUCCCACGAGCAUGUAGGCAAAUGUUUCAAUGACACUCAGGAACUCUCAUACAGAAGGCACAGUCACUGGUAUUAAUGGAAUCACUGGCUAAUCACAGAAACCAAAAGCAACUAAAGGAAAGCAGGAACAGACAGCCUUCAGAGGUGCUGAUAACUAGACAGUAUAGCAGAAUGGACAGGAAACCCUGGUGGCGUAGUGGUUAAGUACUAUGGCUGCUAACCAAGAGGUCAGCAGUUCAAAUCCACCAGGCAUUCCUUGGAAGCUCUGUGGGGCAGUUCUACUCUGUCCUAUAGGGUUGCUAUGAGUCGGAAUCGACUCAACAGCAGUGGGAUAGCAGCGUGAUGAACUCAAAUCCUGCCUGGUUCUACCACUUUUUACCUAUGCAACCAUGGAUUAAGAGUCUCACACAGUUGUAAGGGUUUACUGAGCAUUGCAGGUAAGUUAAGUGCAUAGUCCAGUGCUUCAGAUGUGCUAAAUGCUCUUUGUCAGUCAUUAGCAGUAGUAGGAAAGCCUGAUUUAGAAACAUAAAUAAGAUACUUACGUGAAUUAAUUUUACUUAUGUCUUUGCAUUAUGACGUUCCUUGACCUGUAACUUAGCUACUGAAAAUGUUUUAACCUUUCAUUUUAAAAGGUCUUGUUCACAAACUAGAAUUACCAUUUUGUAACACAGUAAUGGUCUCAAUAGUUUAAAAAAUUUCUGCCCUGAUGCAGUAGUUCAAAGUUGCUCUUCUUCCCCAUUAACUCACAUUCACCACAGCUAUUAUACCUGCUUUUAACCAGUUUCAAAAUUGGUAAAUUUUACGCAUACACAGUUCUCACCAAAAUCACAGAAGUUACUGCACAGUAGGACGAGAUUUAACUUUGGCCCCAUUUCCAUGAAAUUGAUAUGAGAGAUUAUUUUUUAUAAAGAACUUAGUUAAAGCAAAUAGGAUCUUGAAGGACCAAUGGCUGUUCAAGUUGCACAUUUUACUCCUUAGUGAAUCACUCAAAAAACUACUCUUAUUUGAAAUAGAAAGAAACCACAUUUUCCCAGGCCAUGGAGCCAGAGGAGGAAGAUUACGAGAACAGAGAAAAGCAAAGCAAAUAAAGAAACCUAGAGACCAUGUAGCAUAGGGGCACACAAGUCUAUAUUCUUGUUGGCCUUUUGGUAUUGGUGUACCUCCCAGAACAUAGGACCUUAGUUCUUGUUUUUAAUGACGACCCCGAUGAAGAAAAGCCAGAAGUUACUUUAAGAAGCCAGGGAACUAUAUGAUCUGUCACUGUUUUAUAAUUUAGGUUAAAAUCAGAGGAACCCUCUUCAAUUUUAUGUGGUACAUUCACUUACGUAAAUGUCACUUUCCCCAUAGGCCCUAGACCAUUAGGAGGUUGUGUAGCAUGAUGCAUUCAUACCUCUUCAUUGUAUCAAAACGAAACCACUCAACAUAGAUUUCAGGAUACCCAUCCGCCUAUCUGUACUCGUGCCUAUUUCUCUGACUUGUGCGUAUGCCUCAGAUGUACCUUGCUUACUUGUGCCUCUGCUUAGAUUAUUCCCUACUAAGUGGCAAUCCACAGGUUUUCUGCCCCUAAAGAUCUGCCUUCUCCAAGUAGCCUUUCUUGAUAAGAUCUGGGGAAGUCUUCGAUUUCUCCCCUAUUUAUUUUCGUUUUCUCAUGGUUCCCACAUAGGUAUGUCCUUGCUCUACUUGUGAAUUCGGUUCCUCAAUAAAAAGUUGUCCGUUUAGAGAAGAUGUAAAUACUGUUUUAGCUAAUAAGAGAUCAAAAGGAAGGAACAGGUGGCUUUUUUGUUAGCUAUCUUUCUCUUCAUUCUGUUGAGUUAUGGAUGUGCUGAACUGAGUUAUCACUAUAAGAAGAAAUCUGCAGAUUAGAUAUUCAAGGGAAUCUCUUUGGAGCAAGUCUCCACUUGUAUGAAAGAACCCUACAUAAAUUUUUCAAUUUAAAUAGAUUUUAAGGUACUGAUAAGACAACACAUUUUUUUAUUUUAGUACCUGAGAGUGAGUAUACAUUCAAAAUUUUUUUAUGGGGGUAAAAAAAUUUUUCAACCUUUUCUUACUAGAGUCUUACACAUUUAUUUUGCACUUCAACUGUCAAGAACAUCCAACCCCUGAUUCUCUAGCAUACCUGUUUGAUAGGCAUCAUUAUUUAGAUGGAAAAGCUCUUCCCCAAAGGAAGCUGGUUUAAAGAUAAGCAAGACAAAUGUCUGUUAUAUGAAUCACAUUAACAGCCAGCAAUUUUAGUGCUUGACCUGGGAAUACAUGGGCAAGGACAGUAUUUCACAUCCACUUUAAUUUCAAACAAAAAUAAUUUAUUUUAAGGAAACAAUUCUUCGCAUUGUUCAAAACAUUAAUCAAGCCAUUAUCUCAGAAGACUUAAUUUUCUUUACAAAGGAAAAUUUCCAAUUUGGUUCAAAAAAUAAAGGCAAACCCCAGUAAGCAACAUUAGAGAGGAGACGUAAUACACAGGCCUACGCAGCCACAUGAGAAGGAGUUCCUGCUGCUUCGUUAUUACACAGGUAGUUGCUUCCUUCAGCUAAAGCCUGAGCCCGGUAUUUGUUUUAUGCAUAUUGGGUUUUGUUCUAUUACUUGGCAAGAGAUUGUACUCCCUUGAGUCAGCUGUGUUCAUUGGUCAGAAUAAAUUCUAGCAUCUGCCACCAAUUCCAUUAAUCAAAGACAAGCCUGAAUAAGAAAGAUAAUAGAAAGACAAAAAUAUCUGGUGAGCAAUGAGCAUUGUUUAUGUAUGUACGCUACUCAGUAAUAGAGUAGAAGAGAUCUGAGAUACUGAGUUCAAGAGACAGGAAACUGUCUCUCAAAAAGGAUAAAGGCCCCCUACAUGAAACCUUCAUCCCCAGGCCAAAAGUGUAUGAAACAAGUAACACGUUAUAUUAUUCAUAUUCUUAAUACCUCCACCCUGAAGUUUAGAUUUCCCCCAAAAUUUCCAUGUGAAGCCAUUUUUGUUAUUUCCUUACUUGUUUAUAAAUGAUAGGCCACCUAGAACCAAAGUUUUGGGACAUUUCAUGACUGUACUGUAUCAAGAUGGUACAAAAUUUGAUUUCUAGAAUUAAAGUUCCUAAUUAAUUCAAUUAAUUAAAAAUCACCUCCAUGAGUAAAAUGUUCCAUUUCAAUACAAAGCCUGAUACUUGCAAGCUGUUGUAUAAGCAGCCGUAGUCCCUCUGGAGAAGAUGGCUUUACACAGUUACACACACAGAUUUGGAUUUUCAUUGUGGACCACUGAAGGGACAGAUUAGAGUGAAAUCUUUGUCAGUUUUUCUACUUCUAAUUGGAUGUAUAGGUUUAUAAUAAUUUACUCACACAACACAUAGUUCUGCAAUGAUUUCAUCAUAAUUUUCGAUUAUGACUUGAAGGAUGUACUGGGACUGGCUUCAGUGAUCAGGUUAUUUUGAGUCUUAGAAAUCUAAUUGCAAUUCUACACCUACUGACACACAAUACUGUGAGUAAGAAGCGAUUUAAAAUUUUUAACACAAUGGCACAUAGAAAUGGAAUAACCUAGAUACUGUUACUCCACUGUAAUAUUUUUCCUAUCUUUAUGUAUCGUAAGGUCAAGAGAAAUAUAACCUAUUCACAUUGCCUUUUACUUUCAGGCAAUUUGAAGCAACUGACAUGGUUUUAAUUCCAUAUACCUCCUUGAUUAUUAUCAUAUAAAUGAAUAUAUUUAGGCAUAUCACACACUUUGUAAAGCCAAUCUAGAAACGUCCAAUUCCAUUCUUUAUCGGAGAGGCUGAAAUUCACAACUGUAAUCGAAGGUGAAAAAAAACAGUCUUUUUGAAAUACUUUAAUUUAUUAGUAACAUAUAUCUGAUUCUUUGCCAGAAUGUGGAGCUGGAGGGUAUCCAAAAUUCAUUACAUAAUUAUGGUACAGUGUGUGCAAAUGUAUAUAUAUACUGAAAAACUGCAAAAUUAUAAUCAAAAUCCACUUUUACUCUUAAAUAAUUUCUCGGGGGAACCACUGAGGGCGAUACAGCAUCCUUUUGGCCAGAUAACACAUCUCUCCAGAAUUAAUUCUUAUAAAGGCAGUUCUGAUUAUGCUGAUCCAAGCAGUGCAAUGGUGGCAGGUUGGGUAAAGGCAAAACUUUGCUUCUAGUUUCUCCAAACGCUGUCUCACUUGAUUUAGGAGGGCUUGGGAACACCCAAGAAUUAUCUUCCGGAGAAUUUCUGCCACAGGAGUUGUCUUCCUGAAAGUCUGCGCCAUCACCAGGCACAGUUCUCUCAUUAUUUGUCCACGAUUGGAGAACUGCUUUCUCUGAUAAAACCUUUGUAUCUCCUGGGAAAGGAGGAGAUGUGGUGUGAGAAAGGGCUUUGCCAUUUGGUGAGAGAGGGGGAUGUCUUUUGUACGUUGCAGUAAAAUUCGUCAAAUGCAGUUUUGUGCUGUCUCUCCCAAGGUCUUCAACACAUCCUACUGGGGCAGAGGCUAGAAGGAAAGCACAGGCUAGAUGUUAAUUUUCAAGCCAUCUGUGAGCGUACAACACGUAACACUUCAUUAGUUUGGAGGAUGACUGAAGCACUGUGACCUGGAAGUAGACAAUCUGAGCUCUAAUCAUGGGUCAGCUCUUUACUCACAUUGUGACUUUAGUUUGUUUUUCUGAGGAUCAACUGUUCUGAAUAUAAAUAGAUGGAAAAUUAACGAAUGCAAAAAGUCUAAAAGGCCCACAGAGUCUGGAAUUGACCCUGGAACCCUGACCUCACUUAAUACCAGAUACUGAUCAACUGAGUUCAUUAACUAAACACUUAAAAAAAACAAAACAAAACAAAACUAUUAUGUCAAUGACAGAUGCUAUUAUACAAUUCAGAAGACACUAAAAUAAUGUUUUACAGAAAGUAAAGCAAGACUGGUAAGGUGAACACAAACCUCUCCCCUUGGCCUGCUCUGAUUCCCGUAUCUAAGAGGGCUGGGUCAGCAUCACCACUGAAACAGGCCUGGAAGUACACAUCCCGUGGUGUCGAGACGUCAACUUGGAGCCACUCAUACACCGAAAUAAAGCACUUCUAGUUCGUUUGUCUGUCUCAGUUGUGACUCCUGUUUUAGUUCACAUCUCCCCCCUACCCCAAAAAUAAACUGUAAAAUUGGGGACCAUGUUUUAAUCUUUUUUAAUAUUCCCUCUUUAUCUUCAGCCCUUAAAGUUACGUAGUCUCUCAUGCACAAUUUCAUCAUCAGUAAAAGUGAUUUUUCUAAAAUUUCUUCUGUUUCUGUGAUUUAUGAUCAUGAAUAAAACUAAAAGCAAAGUGUAUUCCCUAGCACCAUCUAGUGGAAAAGAGUAACUACUAAGAACUGAAACUAGAACCAAAUUCACCUGGGGAUCUUGUUAAAAUGUAGAUUCUGAUUCAGUAUAUUGAGUGGAAAUUCUCGGCAGGGGCUCAAGCCAAAACAAACUGGUCAGAAGCCCUGGUUACAAUAAGUAAACACUAAGGUUUUUUUUAAGCAACCUAUUAUUCUAGAAUCAUGUUAAAAGUAUAGAGUAUAUCAAAUUUUAGCAGAAAUGAUUAAAAGGGAAGCUAAACACAGACUGUUCAGAGAAUAAGAACAUUCCCUUUCUAGGUAGUUACCAUUCAUGUCAACUCUGCAGUUCAAUACCAAACCAAAUCCACUGCCAUCGAGUGGAUCCGACUCACAGCAACCUCAAGGACAGAGGAGAAGCACCCCAUAGGGUUUCCAGGGCUGUAGUCUUUAGGGAAGCAGACUGCCGCAUCCUUCUCCCACUGAGCAGCUGGCGGGUUGAAACUGCCAACCUCACAUUUUAUCAGCCAAGUGCUUUAACCACUGUGCCAUCAAAGCUCCUUACAUUUUAAUACCUAAUUAUAAAUCCUACACACAGAGUACUGAAUUUCUCAAUUUAGUAAUUCUUUAGUACCGUUUGUUUGGAUUUUUGCAGCUCCCUUUUGAGAUCGCUACAUUCUUUCUUCACCAGUUCCAGCUCUUGUUCCAAACCAUGGAUCUUCAGGUCACAGCUCAACUUCUCCACCUCCCAGUUCGAUGACGGUGGAUUUAAAUUCCUCAUCACUACAAAAAGGACAGGCGUCAAAACUGUUACCUCUGCUUUCUACAUUGGCUGCAAUCCCAAGAAGGUUAUGCUGCUGAAGAUAAAAGAAAUGCUAAUAUGAAAUGUAUAAUAAUUAAUAAUUGAAAAAAAGUAAUGACUUUCAAAGAUCUAUGCUAGUAAGAAAUCUAGUAAUUUUGGUUUAGAAUGUAUUAUUCACUCCCACCCCCCAUUUUCUGUUUAGGUUAAAGUACAAAUUUGCCAGUCUGGAAUUUUAGAAGAUGCUACAGUAAUCAAGCAUAUGCUAGAAUUGUACACAGAUCAAUAAUCUCCUAUUUUGCAUGAUAAAAAUAAUAAACUGAUGCACACUCAGCUAAUCUCUUCACUUAGUCCCUUCAGGGAGUAUAAAGUUUGACCAUCAGGCCCGGAACACUGAAUGGCAUGAUGCCAAAACAAUUUUAUCAUCAACAUUUCAAAGUAGAAAACUCAAUACAAGUGGAUACUGCUUUAUUCUUGACCCUGAACACGGUACCUUUGUCUCUGUAUUUAGAAACACCCCCAACCAGCUGUCCUGAGAUUUCCACUCCCAUCAGCAGGUCUCCUAAAGGCCCCUGCGUCAGUGUUCAUGGGUACAGGCUAACAGUGGUAUCCCUCAGACCUGACUUUCCACCCCAACAUCUCAUCUGCACAUUUUCACGACCUUCAGAAAGGAAAAAUAUAAAUAAGCAAUUGUGACUAUUCCAUGACAGUGUAGACAAAGGCUGUGCAGAAAGGAAAAGCCAGGGCAAGAGGACUGGAUGAGGGUGGGGGAUUACUCCUCUCCUCUACGUCAUCACAAACCAGCCCUGAAGAAAAAUCCUUGUAUUUUCUCUUGGAAAUGCACAAUUUAUAAGUUAAAAUGAGCUGAUACGUUAUGAAAGCAGAACAGAGAAAUUAACAUAAGCCUAAAAAUUAAAAAAUAAGGCCUAAAUACAGAUGUAGAAAGUUGGUAAUGGAGGUAACACAUAAAUGGACAAAUGCAUUAAUUCUGUAAGAAUAUUCAGAACAAGUAAGUGGCAUACCCUGCUGAGUUUCCACCUCUGUCCUUAGCUGGAGAAGCUCUACUUCUUUAGAUUGUAGCUGCUCAUUCAAUACUUUCAAAGAUUCAGAGUUGUCUUUAUUCUAGUUAAGUAGGGAAAAUGCCAAAUUACAUUCAAUAAAAUCAGUAAGUUGGUAUUCUAUCUUCGUUUUCGGGUCGAUACUGGAAAAAACUCAUUCUAGCCUUUAAAAGCAAGAUGGGAAAAUAAACGUAGCUCUCAUCAAUCUUUUUUCCUUUCUUUUUCUGACUUAGGGCAUAUUUCGUUCAACAGCUUUUUUUCUUUUUAACAUAAUGAAUUAUCCCACCAUCUCAGGGUUUUUCAACAGAAGUCGGCAGUGCCAGAUGUAUUUAAGGCCCACGCGUCAUUACGUAAUAUCUAUUUUGUAUAGAAAUAAUUUAUAAAUAUUAUAAAAAAUUCUAUUUUUGCCCUGAGCAUCUGUGAUUUUAUAAACGUAAAUAUUUAACCUCUUUGAACCUUAAACUUCUCGAAGGAGAAAACUCAUCUGCAGUCUGUAGAUAAUGUUCUUUUUAAACCAACUUACCAUUUUAUCCAAUUUGCUCUUCAGAUUGUCUCUAUCAAUGCAGACCUCUCGAUACGCAUGGUAGGCCUUAUUUACUUGUUCUCGUCCCACAGAACUUUCGUCAUCUAAUCGAGCCCCUAUAAGCUAAUGGCAAAAAAUUAGCAGACGAAGGAUAUUAUUAAAAGGGGAUUUUGAAUAAAAAAUAAGUCAGUCUUCUGAUGGGUCCGCAUCUAACUUUAAUCAUGUAAUGCGGGUGGCACAAGCAGCCUGCAGCUGGCCACUAACCUAAAGGCUGGUGGUGGGAACCCAGGCAGCAGCUCCACAGAAGACCUGGCAACCCGCUUCUGUUAAGAAAACCUCCUGGAGCAGUUCUACUCAGUAACACAUGGGGUUGUCAUGAGUCAGGGGUCAACCUGAUGGCUGCUAACAGCAGCAUAGUAAAGUGAACAUUUCACUUCCGUAUAAUUAUACUGAUUAAGAAAGCAUAAAAAAAAGAGAGAAUUUUUUAGAAGCCUUCUAUACCAUGUUUUAUAACCUGUUGAUUCAUCGCAGUAUUUCACAACACAUUAUCCUUCUGAAGUUCUUAAGCAUCUCUGAAGCUGUUAGUAUCAAAUGCCCGUCAUCAGAAGAGUAGCCAGUUAAGGUAGAGUUGACUUUUUAAGGAAUACGUGUGUUAGUUCAUUAAAUCCUGCAUUAUUCCAGAAUAGGACUGAACAGGAUUAUUCGGUCACAAAGUACAGAAAUAUUUCCCAUAGUAACUGUAUACCAAAUCACAUUUUUCCUACCAAAUUUCAAAUAACGUACAUAGCUAUGAGCGCCGAAAUGUUAAUUCUCUCAUUCUAUCCCAGUAUGUCACAAACGUAUUUAAUUACCAUUGAAGCAAAGAAUGAAUUCAUAUGAAUGCAAAGAAAUUAUGGUUAUUUUUACAACCGACUCCCCUCUAGCCCCAGCAAGCCCCAUCCCCAAGCUUCUGUGACAGAAGAACUCAUUCUCUUGGCUGCUAAGAAUCCACUUCUUUCACCCUUGUGGAAGCUGCUCUUUAUAAAAUAGAGACGCACUGAUCUGACCUGAAGAAAUACACACUAAGGUAAGGAAAAACUUCAAAACUCAAAAGUAAACGGGGAAGCGGGGACCAUUUCUCAAGACGUGAGGCCAAGAAGAUCUUGCGAUUAAAUCAGCCACCUUGUUUAUAAAGGAGCAACAGUUAAGCACUUGGCUGCUCACAGAAGGUUGGCAGUUCGAACCCAUUCGGUGGCUCUGCAGGAGAAGGCCUGGUAAUCCGCUCCUGUAAAGAUCAGAGCCUAGAAAACCCUCUAGAGCAGUUCCGCUCUGUCACAUGCUGUCGCUAUGAGUCAAAAUUCAACUCAGGGGCACAUAGCGCUUACAACACCACCUUGUUUGUACGUUCUGAAACAUUUAGAAAUGUCAAGAUUCUGCAUAAAAAGGUAAACACUGGACAUUAAUUCAUCAGUUAAAAAAGCAGUAUUCAUAUAUGGGUAUUCAAGAGCAAAAGAAAACACUGAGGUAAAGAAGAUGAAAGUCCUGCUGUAACUUCAGUCUUGAUGAAGAAAUUGAUAUUAAACAUUACUAAAACAAUACUCAGAAAAGCCUCUUUUGGCUUUUCAUUUCCUUUGUUGCUAUGUCAUUUACUUUUGCACGGAUUUUAAAAUUCUGAAUACAAUACAUACAGCUAUGAAUGUUAAGGCGAUCUGAAAAAAGGAAGGAAAAUAUUUGGAAUAUACCCCUUCCAAGUUAUUCAAUCCUACCCCACAAAUAUUCCCCAAUCACAUGGUAUGUGAGUGACACUGUGACUAAGUACAAUGCCCAAGGUUUGGAAAUUAGCAGUGAAAGAUGCUUGGAAAUUUGGUUUAACUAUGGAAGAGAGGAUAGAAAAAUAUAAAAAAUUUCUAAUAUUGUGAAUCAUCCUUUAUCUCAUAAAACAUAAUGAGGGUAAAAGAAUUACCUUUUCUUCCAAAAGUCUUACUCUUUUCUUUAACAGAGAGUUCUCUUUCUCUGAAUCCUUUAGUCGUUUCUUGAUGUCUUCAUACGCAGUGACCAGGGCGAAAUGGGAGGCAACAGACUCAUCUCCUGAAUAUACUGAGGCUGGAGUCACUAGGUCUCUCCUGUGGGCUUUUUCAUGAUUCAAAAUGCAGAUAUCAUCUUCCACCAGUGUAUCCAUGACAGCUAGUUCAAAGAAAAACACAGGGAACAGAAAUGUCUCACUGAAGAAAUGAGCAACAACAAAAAAAGAUGUAUUUAGAGUAAUGUGAGUAUCGGGGCAAUGUUUAAAAACUCUGAUUUUUUAGAGGCAGUAUAGCAUAGUAGCUAAGAGCAUGGACUCCGGCACCAGACUGCCUGGAUUUUCUAAUCCAAGUUCUACCACUACCCUGUCUGAUAGCGUCACUAUGACUCAGAAUGAACUGGACGGCAACGGGUUGGUUUGUUUGUUUUUUAAUAAUUAAGGAGCUCUAGUGGUGCAACGCUUAAGUGCUCGGCUGCUAACGGAAAGGUUAGCAGUUGGAAUUCAGCAAAGGCUCCACAGGAGAAAGGGCUUGGCGAUCUGCUCCUGUGAAGGUUUCAGCCGAAGGAUACCCUAAGGGGCAGUCCUACUCGGUCUGAUAGGGUCACUGUGAAUCAGAACUGACUUGACAGCACGUAACAACAGUAACAUUACCUAUACUUACAGUCACCCAUUUAUUAUAACCAGAAAGGAUACAAGUGAAGAGACAUGAGGCGAGGUCUGAGAGCGUUCCUGGCACAGGGGCCUCCGUUGUCUCCAGGGACAUGCCACCCUCUCUAGUUCAAGGAUUUUCUCACCAAUCUAGGGAAUAUGCAUGAUGGAGCCUUAAUACAAAGUUAUGUUCGAUCAAUGAAUAUGAAUGACUGCAUCAUGCCCCUCCCUUCCUGAGGCCUGCUGCCAGAGUGGGGCCUGUGUAGCCCCCUACUUAUUCACACAUUUAAAU
Molecule: RNA transcript, 10963 nt
Organism: Loxodonta africana (African savanna elephant)
Lineage: Eukaryota; Metazoa; Chordata; Mammalia; Proboscidea; Elephantidae
Gene: CMC1
Gene name: C-X9-C motif containing 1
Exons: 6
Source: RefSeq, a predicted model, not a curated record